RNAcentral lists this ribosomal RNA (465 nucleotides) under uncultured bacterium. RNAcentral describes it as "partial 16S ribosomal RNA". It matches the Rfam family "Bacterial small subunit ribosomal RNA", at positions 28 to 507 of the family's 1533-position model. The record is from RNAcentral.
GACGAACGCUGGCGGCGUGCUUAACACAUGCAAGUCGAACGGAAAGGCCCCUUUGGGGGUCCUCGAGUGGCGAACGGGUGAGUAACACGUGAGUAACCUGCCCUUUACUUCGGGAUAACUUCAGGAAACUGGGGCUACUACCGGUUAGGAAUCCUUGCUGCAUGGUGGGGGUUGGAAAGCUUCGGCGGUUUUGGGUGGACUCGCGGCUUAUCAGCUUGUUGGUGGGGUAGUGGCUUACCAAGGCUUUGACGGGUAGCCGGACUGCGAGGGUGACCGGCCACAUUGGGACUGAGAGACGGCCGAGACGGCGACGGGUGGACGCAGGGGGGAAGAUUGCACAAGGGGCGGAGGGCUGAUGCAGCAACGCCGCGGGCGGGAAGACGGCCUUGGGGUUGUAAACCGCUUGCAGCAGGGGCGAAGCUUGUGGUGACGGUACCUGCAGAAGAAGCACCGGCUAACUACGUG